RNA transcript from Cebus imitator (Panamanian white-faced capuchin), 2255 nucleotides. It is a transcript of the gene named zinc finger protein 765-like, with no coding region annotated. The transcript has 4 exons. The record is from RefSeq and is a predicted model, not a curated record. NCBI's taxonomy places the organism in Eukaryota, Metazoa, Chordata, Mammalia, Primates, Cebidae.
CAAACCCGGAAGCGGAUCGCGUGGAAUGAGGGUCCCUCCGCGGCGCGGAGGAUGUGUGUUGAUUCUGAGCAAUAAACAACAUAUUUGACAUUCAGGAUUGACUUCUAAUGACUCUUGAUACGUGAGGAAGAAACUUGGAAGAGGAAAGCAAAGGAGUCAGGAAUGGCUCUUCCUCAGGGUCCAUUGACAUUCAGGGAUGUGGCCGUAGAAUUCUCUCCGGAGGAGUGGAAAUGCCUGGACUCUGCUCAGAGGACUUUAUACAGGGACGUGAUGUUGGAGAAUUACAGGAACCUGGUCUCCCUGGACAUCUCUUCCAAAUGCAUGAUGAAAGAGUUUUCAUCCACAGGGCCAGGCAAUACAAAAGUGUUCCACACAGGGACAUUGGAAACACAUGAAAGUCAUCACAUUGAAAAUUUUUGCUUCCAGAAAAUUGAGAAAGAUAUUCAUGACUUUGAGUUUCAGUGGCAAGAAGAUGAAAGAAAUGGCCAUGAAGCACCCAUGGCAGAAACCAAAGAGCUUCCUAGUAGUACAGACCAAUAUGAUGAAAGGCAUGCUGAAAACAAGCCUAUUAAAGAUCAGCUUGGAUUAAGCUUUCAUUCACAUCUCCCUGAACUCCACAUAUUUCAGACUGAAGGGAAUAUUGGUAAUCAAGUUGAAAAAUCUGUCACCGAUGCUUCCUCUGCUUCAGCAUCCCAAAGAAUUUCUUGUAGGCCCAAAACCCAUAUUUCUAAUAACUAUGGGAUUAAUUUCCUUCAUACUUCAUUUCUCACACAAAUACAGAAAGUACACAUGAAAGAAAAAUCUUUCCAAUUUCAUGAGAGUGGCAAAACCUUUAAUUGCAGAUCACUCUUAGGGAAACAUCAGGUAAUCCAUUUAGGAGAGAAAAAAUAUGAAUGUGAUGUAUGUGGCAAGGUCUUUAAUCAGAAGCGAUACCUUGCACGCCAUUGUAGAUGUCACACUGGUGAGAAACCUUACACGUGUAAUGAGUGUGGCAGGACCUUCAGUCAGGCGUCAUACCUCACCUGCCAUCGUAGACUUCAUACUGGAGAGAAACCUUACAAGUGUAAUGAGUGUGACAAGACCUUCAGUUAUACGUCAUCACUUACAUCCCAUCGUAGACUUCACACUGGAGAAAAACCUUACAAAUGUAAUGAGUAUGACAAGACCUUCAGUUACAUGUCAUCACUUACGUCCCAUCAUAGACUUCACACUGGAGAAAAACCUUACAAGUGUAAUGAGUGUGGGAAGAACUUUGGUCAAAAUUCAGCCCUUGUAAGUCAUAAGGCAAUUCAUACUGGAGAGAAACCUUACAAGUGUGAUGAGUGUGGCAAAACCUUUGGUCGAAAUUCAUACCUUCUAUUUCAUAAGACAAUUCAUGCUGGAGCGAAACCUUACAAGUGUAAUGAAUGUGGCAAGGUUUUUAAUCGAAAAUCAAACCUUGCACUUCAUUGUAGACUUCAUACUGGAGAGAAACCUUACAAAUGUGAAGAAUGUGACAAAAUGUUCAGUAGCAAAUCACACCUUAAAAGACAUAGGAGAAUUCAUACUGGAGAGAAACCAUACAAAUGUAAGGUUUGUGACAAGGCUUUCGGGCGUGAUUCACACCUGGCACAACAUACUAGAAUUCACAGUGGAGAGAAACCUUACAAGUGUGAUGAGUGUGGCCAAGCCUUUAGGUAUCAGUCAACACUUAUUCACCAUCAAGCAAUCCAUGGUGUAGGGAAACUUUACUAACGUAAUGAUUGUCACCAAGUCUUCAGUAACGCUACCACCAUAGCAAGUCAUCGGAGAAUCUAUAAUGAAGAGAGAUCUUACAAGUGUAAUAAAUGUGGCAGAUUUUUCAGACAUUCUUCAGACCUUGCACUUUACUGGCAAACUAAUACAGGAGAGUAACCUUACAGGUAUAAUGGUGUGGCAAGACCUUUGAUCAAAAUUCAGCCCUUGUUAUUGAUAAGGCAGUUAUACUGGAGAGAAACCUUACAAGUGUAAUGAAUGUGGCAAGGUUAUUAACAGUCAAACCUUGCAUGUCAUUAUAGAUGUCAUACUAGUGAGAAACCUUACAAGUGAAAUAAAUACGGCAAGGUUUUUAAACAAAAAUCAAACCUUGUAUGUCAUCAUAGACUUCAUACUAGAGAGAAGUCUUUUCCUACUAGAGAGGUUUUGUUUAUUUUUUAAAAAAUCUUUUAGGUGGAGUCUUGCUCAUACUGCCCAGGCUGGGGUGCUGUGGCACGAUCUCGGCUCACUGCAACCUCCAC